This 159-nucleotide ribosomal RNA is filed under the name Acacia hypermeces. RNAcentral describes it as "5.8S ribosomal RNA". It matches the Rfam family "5.8S ribosomal RNA". From Rfam's summary of the family: 5.8S ribosomal RNA (5.8S rRNA) is a component of the large subunit of the eukaryotic ribosome. It is transcribed by RNA polymerase I as part of the 45S precursor that also contains 18S and 28S rRNA. Lineage: Eukaryota; Viridiplantae; Streptophyta; Magnoliopsida; Fabales; Fabaceae. The record is from RNAcentral.
GACUCUCGGCAACGGAUAUCUCGGCUCUCGCAUCGAUGAAGAACGUAGCGAAAUGCGAUACUUGGUGUGAAUUGCAGAAUCCCGUGAACCAUCGAGUCUUUGAACGCAAGUUGCGCCCGAAGCCGUCGGGCCGAGGGCACGUCUGCCUGGGUGUCACGC